Molecule: RNase P RNA, 359 nt
Filed under: Rothia amarae
Lineage: Bacteria; Bacillati; Actinomycetota; Actinomycetes; Micrococcales; Micrococcaceae
Description: Bacterial RNase P class A
Rfam family: Bacterial RNase P class A
About the family: Ribonuclease P (RNase P) is a ubiquitous endoribonuclease, found in archaea, bacteria and eukarya as well as chloroplasts and mitochondria.
Source: Rfam by way of RNAcentral
CGGGACGCUCGGGCAAUCGCGCGGUGAGAUGUAAUGUCCACCUCGAGGAAAGUCCGGGCUCCACAGCACAGGAUGGUCGAUAACGUCGACUCAGGGUAACCUGCAGGCUAGUGCCACAGAAAAAAGACCGCCUUUUACGAGGUAAGGGUGAAAAGGUGAGGUAAGAGCUCACCAGUAUCUCAGGUGACUGAGAUAGCUUGGUAAACCCCAUUCGGAGCAAGGUCAAACAGAGCAUGAAGUAGGCUGUGCGUCGAAAUGCUCGGGUAGGCUGCUUGAGCUCUACGGCAACGUAGGGCCUAGAUGGAUGAUUGCCACUUGUUGUACAAGUACAAAACCCGGCUCAUAGAGCGUCCCGUCCC